Molecule: non-coding RNA, 302 nt
Organism: Erinaceus europaeus (western European hedgehog)
Lineage: Eukaryota; Metazoa; Chordata; Mammalia; Eulipotyphla; Erinaceidae
Source: Rfam
AGAUGUGAGGGUGUGCUAGCUGUGACAUCUGUCAUCUCACUGAUCCCCAGGGUUGAUUCGGCUGAUAUGGCUGGCUAGGCGGGUGUCCCCUUCUUCCCUCACUGCUCCAUGUGCGUCCCUCCCAAAGUUGCGUGCUCAGUGGAAGAGGACGGCAGUCCCUGAACAGAGAGAAUAGAGAUGGGCCUGCAGUAGGUUGAGGGUAUGCCAGGAGGAAUGCUCCCACACUAGAACCCCCACAAGCUCUCAGACCAUUGAAGUAGAUGUCUCUUAUGAAGCUGAGCAUUCUGCUUGAUCUUUAGUUG